CCUACGGGUGGCUGCAGUGGGGAAUAUUGCACAAUGGGGGAAACCCUGAUGCAGCAACGCCGCGUGAGUGAAGAAGUAUUUCGGUAUGUAAAGCUCUUUCAGCAGGGAAGAAGAUUACGGUACCUGAGUAAGAAGCCCCGGCUAACUACGUGCCAGCAGCCGCGGUAAUCCGUAGGGGGCAAGCGUUAUCCGGCUUUACUGGGUGUAACGGGAGCGUAGACGGUGAGACAAGUCUGAAGGGAAAGCCCGGGGCCCCACCCCGGGACUGCGUUGGAAACGGCCGGACUGGUGUGCUGGCGAGGCCACCGGCCUUCCUAGUGUAGCGGUGAGCUGCGUAGAUAUUAGGAAGAACACCAGUGGCGACGGCGGCUUGCUGGACAGUAACUGACGUUGCGGCUCGAACGCGUGGGGAGCACACAGGAUUAGAUACCCCUGUAGUC
Molecule: ribosomal RNA, 440 nt
Filed under: uncultured bacterium
Lineage: Bacteria
Description: partial 16S ribosomal RNA
Rfam family: Bacterial small subunit ribosomal RNA
Source: RNAcentral